RNAcentral lists this ribosomal RNA (466 nucleotides) under uncultured bacterium. RNAcentral's name for it is "partial 16S ribosomal RNA". It matches the Rfam family "Bacterial small subunit ribosomal RNA", at positions 28 to 507 of the family's 1533-position model. The record is from RNAcentral.
GAUGAACGCUGGCGGCGUGCUUAACACAUGCAAGUCGAACGGAAAGGCUCCUGCUUGUAGGGGUACUCGAGUGGCGAACGGGUGAGUAACACGUGGGUGAUCUGCCCUGCACUUCGGGAUAAGCCUGGGAAACUGGGUCUAAUACCGGAUAGGACGAUGGUUUGGAUGCCAUUGUGGAAAGUUUUUUCGGUGUGGGAUGAGCUAGCGGCCUAUCAGCUUGUUGGUGGGGUAAUGGCCUACCAAGGCGUCGACGGGUAGCCGGCCUGGGAGGGUGUACGGCCACAUUGGGACUGAGGUACGGCCCAGACUCCUACGGGAGGCAGCAGUGGGGAAUAUUGCACAAUGGGCGCAAGCCAGAUGCAGCGACGCCGCGUGGGGGAUGACGGCCUUCGGGUUGUAAACUCCUUUCGCUAGGGACGAAGCGCAAGUGACGGUACCUGGAGAAGAAGCACCGGCUAACUACGUG